Long non-coding RNA from Solenopsis invicta (red fire ant), 10093 nucleotides. RefSeq lists it as uncharacterized. The transcript is spliced from 5 exons. NCBI's taxonomy places the organism in Eukaryota, Metazoa, Arthropoda, Insecta, Hymenoptera, Formicidae. The record is from RefSeq and is a predicted model, not a curated record.
AGAAGGAGGGAGAGAGAGAAAGAGAGAGAGAGAGAGGGGGGGGAGAGAAAAAGGAAGAGAAGCGUAAAGGGAAAGAGCCGCUCGACUGUCUCGCCGUGGUUAUUCCGGCUUUUUGAUAUCGGUCGGGUUUCGCCGCGGCAGUAUCGAGCUAACAAUUAAUUAUUGGCGGCGCUUCAGAGGGCUGCCGGCAGCCGUAGUUAAACAUUACGCGUUCCAUAUCUUACUGUGCUAUCUAAUCCCCCCGGGGGCUCGAGCGCUACUGCAGUAAUCUCGUUUAAUUGCCGGCUGUAGACGCGAGAGUCCCGUUCAAUUAGUUUUUCAAAUAAACAUUAGUUUCCUUAACACGCGGCGCCAUAACGUGCCGGAGGAUGAGAAGGACGAGGAGGAGGUGGCUGGUAGGUGGAAGAGGAGACGGCGCGAAGAGGGAAGAAGCGCGAUCGAGGGAUGACGUGAGAGAAAGAGAGAGACGGGGACGGAAGAGGGAGCAGGUGAGAGAAAGAGGGGCGUAGAUGGUGCAGUCGGAAGGCAGUCGGUGGAGGUGACGGGUCUGUGGAGCAGAAGGGAUGUGGCGAGUGUGGGAGGGGAGAAACACCGAUGGAGGAGAACGGCGGUGUCGCGUCCGCGGGGGCGCGCUGUCUGGCCCUCUGGCACCCCCUUCGCCCCCUUCGCCACGCCAUCAUUAGUCAAUGUCGACGCUUGUAGCACGUGGAGCUCCACAGAAUGCAACAUCUGCCUGAUAUCCCUCUGUAUCUCUCGUACAAAUCCGUGCCGCGAUUCUACCACAAGCGCUCGAGGAGCAGCAGAGGCUUAGUCGGCGUCGUCGGUCGGCGAUGAGCAGCGCGACGGUGGAGAGCGUUUACAGGCGGCCUAAGAGAUGGCGCGAGUAGGAAGAUGAUAGGACGAGGAUGCGAAGAAUUCCGAGACCACAAAUGGGUGUUCGAUCCGCAUCACGUGGUGAUAAGCAGGCAACUACCAGUAAGUGAAACAAGACUCGAUGCAGAAACAUAACUGGGUUACCGCAGGAGACACUUAAACCAUGUUCUCGUGGCAGAGACUCCGUGGCAGAUGAGAGGGAGAGAAAAAGAGAAGGAAGGAGGAGCGAGAGGCGGAAAGACUAUGAUGGAGUACAACGGGAAGGACGAAAGAGGAAAGCGAGGAGAAAUUGAGAAAGAGAGGGACGGAACAGAAAAGAGAGGUUUCGUUAAGUCGCACCGACGUCGCAUGUGCACGGCCAGGGCGAACCGGACCUAUAAAUAUUGUCGAAACGCGUCAAAUAAAUCUGAAGCUUUCCCAUGUUGCAAGACAAAAAGGAGCAGGGUAAAGCGAUGGUCUGAUGGCCGCUGCAAGGGUGACCCCUAUUUAUUGCCGAAUUAAAGCGCGUCACCAUUAAUUUGCAUACCGUGAGCGCGAGCGCGGAGGAGCGUCAACAUGCGUCUGGCAUUCCACGUCGUUUGACGAAUCUUGCGAUCUCGGCGUCGCGCUUCAUAAUUACGCGCCCGUUAAUUCGUCGUGGCUCCGUCGCCUCGCUGCACGCUAGCACGCCAGCAAACGUUUUUGUUGCUCCUUCCCUCCUCCAGUCAUCUUUUAUUAAACGGUUUUGAAUCUAAUUUUAUAUCGCGACGAGACACACGGAAUUCGCCAUCGCAUCGAAGCAAUGAUUGAACGUUCAUCUCUCCUGCCCCUGUCGUCACACGUUACUGCGCGAAUUUAAACGUUUAGUUUCUCAACGCACGAAUAAAUUUUGAAGAUUUUAUAUAAAUAGCUAAUAGAAAUUUUUAACGACAUAGAAUAUUACCGUUUAACUUUGAGGAAUAGGAAAAAAAAAGACUUUUUGCGUUCUCGAAGCGUGUUUCGAUCCUCGAAGAUUCACGGAGGCGUCUCAUCCUCUUAACGUCAAACAUCAGAAGAUAGAGAACUUUUUCCAACAUCUUCAAGUCUAAUUGCGGAAGAGAGUCGCGUGCCUCUCUUACAGCCUCUCGACUAAUUGCUCGAAACAAUUAAAGCCAAGGAUCGAAUUUGCUUUUCUUGCGCCCCAUCUCCCCUCCCUCGCCUGUCGUCUCUUCCCUCUUGUUUGCCGAGCGCGUUUCCCUUCCCCGCGUUUGUUUUCUGGAAAGCGAAAACCGUUGCACAAGGAAUCGCGCACGUCGUGUCGUACGCGCGGGACGAGCCGGUGUCGGUGUCUCGGGGUGCGAGCUGCUCGAUCCACGCCAUAAAUUAGCAAUUAUUUAAUUUUCGUAGGGCCCGGGGUCCUUAGACGGCUCUAAAUCAGUCUCCGUUGCAAAAAGCAUAGAUAACUAUGACGCAUGGCUCCCAGGAAGAGACAGGGGUGCGCUCACCGGAUUGUGGCGGUGGUGACUUGGUCCGGGCUGGGGGGAAGUGAGUAGGGUAGAUGACGGGGGUAAGCGGAGAGGACUCAGGAACGGCGAGCUAUCACGCUCCGGUGGUGCAGCGGCAGGGGGAAAAAGGGGGUGCGACAGGAUCGUCGAGGAUCUCGUCGGUGGGGGUCCGCUCCACGAUAACUGUUAGUUUCGCGGUGUCGUCGUGGCAGCGAGCGAGCGAGCGAGCGAUGCGACGUUCCCCGUUCCCGCUUCUGUUCCUCAUGACGACGAAGAACCGACGUCGUUGCUGGUUCGCUGCUGUCGCUGCUCUGGCUGGCUGGCUGGCUGGCUGGCUGGCUGGUUGUACGAUAGCUGGUGGUGGGCGCACACUGCCACCGUUGCUCCCGGUUCGCCGCUGUGUAUGUAAAUGUGGACGAGAGCAAGAUAGAGAGAAAGAGAGGGAGUGAGAGAGAGAGAGAGAGAGAGAGAGAGACGAAGCGGGCGAACGAGCACACGGAGCUGGGCACAAUGGCAACUAGUUUUAAUUACAAAGUAAGGUGAAGCGAUCAAUCAUAAUGAUGUACGUGAGGCAGGCGCGGCCUCUGGGGUGUCGAGGGUGGGAAGCGGCGAGGAGAAGGUGGAGAAGGACGAAAAGGAUGGAGACUGGGACGGGGGAGGAGGGGGUCGAUGCCGCUCCGGGGCGGGGUGGAGAGGGCCCCCGCGUACACUUUGCGUAUAAUUUACUGGCACUGGAUAUACCUGAAGUUAUGCUAUACCGAAGCUGCCAUCGUCCUUCUUCGUCCCGCGUGUCUCUUUCUCUCCUUCCUGCCAUCGCUCUUACCGCCGUACUACGAUAGAGUAGAUCUCUCUCUUGCUCUCUUUCUCUUUUCUCUCUGCUUCUCUCCCUCCCCCCUCGCUCAUUCCCACCGUAUCUUUCUCCUUUCCCCUACCUAUGACUCUGUGCGCUUCGUCUGGCCGACUGGCCGCCAUAACUCUCGGUCGCUCCCUCCGAAAUAUCUGAUGCGCCACGCGAUAUUUACGAUCAGCACGCCCUGGCGAAGCCCGGCGCUGAAAGCCUGACGGCGAUCCUUCUCCUUCUUCGUCUUCUUCCGUCCCACGUCUGAUUCUUGCUCGUGCGUCUAUCACCUUCUUCUUUCCCGCCCUCUCGCCUUCGACCCAUCACCGCGAACUCGGGACUGUAAACGGGAGGUCACACAACGCGCGGGAGAUGACCGCGAUUGUUGCUCAAGAUUAUGGAUUUGACGAUCGAUGCGAUUUCGAAUUGAACCGAGAUUGAUCCAUAUAUCCUCGAUUGAUCCGUGACGCGCGUUCAAUUAACUUUCAUUAGUUCGUUAACGUCGCUCAGGACUGCAAUUACACACAAGUUCGUUCGCAAUGGUACGUCGUUUUGUAUAAAAAAGAUCGAGAUACAUCACAACAUGUGUAUCUUUACGUCGUGCAUGUCACGGGAACGAGCGAAUCUUCACCAGUCGGGACGCGCGAUCCUCUUCUGCGCGGUCGUGGCCGUCUCGUCCGUGGACGAUACGGUCAUGAAUAUUGCGAGCGCCGGUAUUUUGAGCCGGCGUGACGAGCGUUGAUGGGGAUUUACCUCGGCCUCUCCUUGUGUGGCUCGCCGCAAGAACUCCGCGGCCAAAGAGAGAGUUCGCCUUUUUCAGCUUCCUCCGCCGUCCCUACACCGAGACGUCUCCGCGCACACGAUACUUGAGUGCUGCCCUUCCUCCCUCCUUCCCUGGUCUCUGCCCUUUUUUGCGCACCCUUUCCCCUCUAGCUUUCUCAGUCGCUCGUUUGCCCUUUCUUUCCGACUCGUCUGCCAACGUUCGUCUUAAAGCGCGCGUGAGCGUAGACAUCCCUCGCGUGACGGGCCGAUGUCCAUCAGCCACCAUCGUACGACCGCCGCGUCGCUGCAGCAGCAGCCGCCGCCACCGCCGCCGCCGCCGCUCUGCCAAAACAAAACGUAAUUAUUUCACGUGAUUAGCUGACCAACCGACCGACCUGGCCGCACUCUCGCGGGAACGCUCGCGCGGCAUCCUUCUUCCUCGGAGUGCGUAAUGCACCACACGUGAAACGACGCCUCGUAACCCUUUCGCUUUCUUCCUACCUGUCCGGCGAAUCAUUAAUGUAAAUCACCGACGUGUCGUGCCGCGGCUAACGAUCCAAGCGCCGCGAUUCGCUUUGACGGCGCCCGAUGGAUACGCGGAUCCGCGUUAAUUUAGGGAUCCGGCUGAUCUCUUCGCCGCGAGGCCCGAGCACCCGAUGCGAGUAAUGCGUCAAUUUGUCUACGUCGAACUAAGGUAGCGCAGUAGCAUUGUGCACGUGCGAAAGAAAAAGAUAUGUUAAAGUAUGUUCUCGCUCUCUUAUGGAAAUUACUAAGGGAGAUGAAUUACAUGGCGAGAUUAAGGAUUAACAAAAAAUUUGUAGGCACCGUUUGUUCGACGAAUGAGGAAAUGACCAAUGACCAAUCGCAAUUAUACUUUGAGCAUAACAAUCUCGGCAUAAUUCACUUCUUAAAUUGUUUGCGAUUCUCCCUCUAUGUGAUACUUAUUGAAUCACGCAAAUACAAAAUUCUUAUUAAAAAAUUGCCAUCGAUUGAAGUACCGCAAUGCCAAUAUUUCGCAAUUUAGAUGCAUGGAUGCGCCACGCACGGGGCGAGUAAUUUUCUAAUCGGAUAAUCCGCGCGCGGCGGAGGAGGAAGCUCUCGAGACGGGCGGUCCCGCAUAGGCAGAGUGUAGAAAACGAGCUGCCGGAAUCUGUGCAAUCCAAUUUGUUCGACGACCACUCGCCCGGUCGAUUCAACGGAGCUAAAGGCUAGACAUUAUUGGCCAGCUCGCGUGCUGCAUGCGCAAUGAAAUAAUAACGCCGCGAAAUCUAUUAGACACGUGAGCGUGGCUUCUUUCUCCUUUAACGACCGCCGGAGGGUCCCGCGGUACGUACCCGGAGGCUUUAUACCGGCUCCGUGCACGCCAGUGAGUCACUCAUGGGCGUGCGCGCGCGGCAAUGGUCGUUCGGAGCCGUGGCAGUGUACAGCACGCGUGACCUUACCACGGAGAAACGAUCCCUCGUAACCUUGAGAUUUCCCCGUGCGAAAUCGACAGUGAGCCAUAAAAUUCAUGAUCGUCGUCGCGCACGCAGCCAAUUUCUUUCCCCCGCCACGGCGCGGCGGCGUGGUGUCGCGUCGCGUCGGCAAAGGCAGAAAUGAUAUUAAUCUAGACGUUAUUAAUCUUCCGGGUGCGCGCGGAAUAACGUCUAUUUUAAGCGAAAUUCUCAAUUAUUGUAUAGUUACAUCGUGAACGUUCGUACGAGGAAUAUUUUCAUUAGUUUCAUUAAACGUCGUAGGAAUACGACCACUCUGCUGUUCCACGAAGCAAAAAUUGGCGUGUUCAGACACGGUCAAAAUGGAAAAGGCGAGGUGCGGCGACUUUUACCGCGCGCUAUGCAUUUUUAAUUACCACCAGCUGAGGCAUAAACGGACGCGUCUGAUAGCGUUAUUAAAAAUUCGCUUUAUCACAUACGUAUCAUCGAAUCGUACGAGACAGCAAUUAUCUUAGCCAUUUCUUUGUUUUUUUUUUCCUACUCCUCUUCCGUACUCUUAUCGUUUUAUGUGUCGAGUUCGUUUCUCGGAUGAAGGUUCAGCCUUGGUACCAGUCGCAGCGUCAGCCAUUAAUUAAAUAUAAAGUAACUCCGCGUUGUCAACAACGUGCUUGGUAGCUCGGCUGUUCCGCGCCGACAGCCGGGAAUAACAAUAAAAAUGAUAAUUGUACCUGAAGUAGCUUCUCGUACCUUGGAUCGAAAGGGUUGGGAAAACGGGACGAAUGUAAAGGAAACGAUAUGCCGUUUUCAGCGGGCCGCACGGCCGUAUAUGCGCGCGCGUGUAUUGGUGCUUAUCGCGGCCGUGAAUGCGAGUAAUUUCACACGACUAAUUAGCCUCUCGUUAGCCGCGCGCCGGCCCGUUCCAGAAGCGAGGCGAUGGACGCGCGGGAAUGAAAGAAAGGAAAAAAGGAGAAGACAACGAGAUGAUAAUUUUGCAAUACAAAUCCGCGACUUAUCGGAUAACUCGUCUCCCUCUCCCUCCCCCCCCCUCUCCCCCUCCGCUUUCGCGCGUCCCUGUCGCGCCAGAGUAGGUCCGCGAGGCGAUUAAUUAAAUUCUCGGGUAAUCAAAUAUGUCACUCAGCCGUCCGGUUUUAAUUAAAGUUCGGACAUUAUCUAUUUGCUUUAUCAUCGUAGAGUUGACUAGCGCAGACUCCACGGACCCGAGGGACGAGCAAGUCCGUGGCGAGACGGGACGGGACGAGGGCGAGCAGAUGAGCGUCAAAGUGAUGGGAGAGAAGUUGGCUGACACCCGAUCGAAAGUGUCACUAGCCUCUUCUGAUAGAUUGCGAUUGGACGUUCGUGCUCUUUUUGGCGAAGCCGGCACCGUCGCCGUCGUCGCCACGCCGCCGCGCCGCCCGCGCGUCCCUUUCGCGUUUCAUUCCCUACUUAUCAUUAUCAUCGUGAGACGAAGCCGCCAAAGUGCGUUGCGAAUUAACGAUAUUAAUUGAUCCAAUUCCGCCGCUGAGUGCUCGCGGGCAUUAGCGCGCAAUUUGUUUUAGUAAGUGCAAAAUUUCAGAGAUAAAGCUAACGCAGCCGCGUCCUUGUUUACCGCUCGCACACUCCACGCUUAAAUGCGGCCGUUUGAUCCCGGAUUUUAUUUUCCUAAUACGAAGAUUACAUUCGACGUUAUCGUACGUGGAAAGCUAAAUAGCCGUAUUUAACGUUCAAUGUGCCAUACGAACACAGACCGAAGAAUUCACGUGGAGAUUCCGUUUAAACGUUGCCCGUCAAUUGUGUACGUACAGAUGCAAAUAUAAUCAGAUUUAUCAAGAACACAUCUGUUGAAUUAGUGCGAAAGUCUUGGUCCUUUUUGGCGUUGCUCUUAUUAUGGUAUCAAGAGCUCGAGGAACUAUCUAUAAUAAAAAAUUGGUUCCAUUUGAAUUAUUCACAGUACUAUCUUGAAUCAGCGAAAGGCUGAAGAAAAGAUAUUUGAAUACGAGUAGAAUGUACGAAUUUCGGAAAGGAAUAAAAAUGGUGGGUGUCGUAAAAAUCAUUUGUGAUGAAUUUGAAAAAUUUCCAAUGCUUUUUGUGGUAUUUAUCAUUUUUAUUAAACGUGCAUCGCAUGUAAAUAUUCUUAUUUUAAACUCAUCUUCGCUCAUACAAAAUAGCACUAUAAAUAACUCACUAGCAUUAUUUUUCAUAGAUAGUUCUUAAAGUUAUUUUCCCAACGAUAUUAUGAUUCACCAAUAGUAUCUGCCAAUAACGACAUACUGUAGCGAGAGUAACAUUAUUCCUUCGAAAAGGCUCAAGUUUUUUUGUGCCCACUUAAUAUACGUACGUAUAAUUCGAUACGUGUUUAUGUAUAAAUAAAAGAAAUAUUACUGUAGUUUAUCUAAAGCGUAGUCCAAGCAAUUACAUCGAUUUAUCCAAAAAUCUUUAUAGCGACGAUAAACCAUUCGCGAAGCAAAAACUUGUUUGUCUCGUUGGUCCGAGGCGCAUAGGAAAUAGCUAGGCGUCGAUCGACGUAGAUCCUUGUGCGACGCGACGCGCAACGGCAAAGUGAUAAUUCCCGCGAUUCGCCGGGAAUUUCUCCGACUCUUCGCGUUCUUCCUCCCUCUUUUUUCCACCCUCCUCGAUUAGAGGAGCUGCUGACGUCCUUCUUCGCAGCAGCCGCCGUUGUCGUCUCCUACGUCGGUAAGGCGGUUUUACGUCUUAUGAGUUCCCAACUGCGGCACCUCUUCUAUUCCUCGCAAUGAUUUCGUCGCAAUCACCCUCGUCUCACCCCCGCGCCGAGGGCCUCGACGACAGGGCGGUAAUAUCGGGGAAUGGCGCGACGAAACUACGAGAGGCGGAGAGGCCGACCGACACUUUUGUCAAUACACCGGGAAAGAAAGAGGAGGACGCCGACAGGGCGGUGGCGUCUCUCUCAGCCGGCGUUGCCGCUAUAAAGACCACUCGUGUCAUUUCGCAAUGACGAAACUUUGUCCUGAAUUCUCCGUUUCUCUCGUUCCACGAGCCAGCGCUCUGCGCGCGUCGCCGCGCCGAUCCCCUCGCCUCAUCAUCCUCCGCGCUCGCUCCCUCGAGUUCGAGGUAUGGCUCGAGUUUGUUAGUUUGAGCAGCUCGGUAGCUGCCGGCUUGUGUCAGUACACUCGCCAUUCUUUCCGUGUUCUGCCUUUCUCUCACCGUUUCGUCUAAUCUUUUGCGUUUCUCGUUCAUUCUCUCACGGGUUUCUCUCUUUCUCUCUCUCCCACUACUCACUCGCCCCGGCUCGCAUCCCAUCCGCUUCGCGCACGUACAUACCUAGUCUACAUUGGGCAAUAACAAACUGCUCGACGAAAGUAUCGAGAAACAAAAGAUAUAUGAGGUGGCGGACGGGGACCGGGAGGGCCGAGGGCGGCGGCGGUGGAGAACGACGCGGGAUGGACGACGCUGAGUGAGUCGACGAUGGGAACGAUAUUACGUCUUGUCGGACGCCAUCUUCCUCUUACGACCACCCGUCACCUCCAGAAACUUACGAGGAUGAGUGGCCGAGAAGUUGCCGCUGCGACUGAGCACUCGGCAGAUUUCAGGAUUUUUCGAGAAGACGCCAAGUAUGGACGGAAUGUCACCAAUCGAUUGGUCUUACCCGCCAAACUACGCAUCUGGAUUUAACGUGUGCCACAUUCCAGAUCGGUUACGGCAUUAUCAUUAAAAUUGCGGGAAUGACGUUCAAGCCGCGGGAACUCUCGUUGUUAAAUCAGCAUUUAUUUAUGACGUUAUAAAUGUGAUAUUUGAAAUAAAAUCCUCGGCCUUCCGUUCACAGCUCUUGACAUAUGUAUCCACUCUGAAGCGGAAAAUGACAUUUCGUUAUUUCGUAAUUAGAAAAACAAGUAGAAUAGUUGAUACGGCGUAUCGAGAGAAACUCGGCACUUUCAUCGUCACGCGUAAAAACGUGCGGCUCACGAAACGUGGUUGAUGCAAGGUGGCAUUGAUAACCAUCCGAGUUUAUGACGUUCGAGUUUAUGACAUCCGGCAGAGCUGUUUGUCACGCCGACCUCCGAGAAGCCUUCGGUAACGACACGCACGCCGAUGAAUCAGGAAACGGACAUUACAUAUUUAUCCGCCGGGAACUCGAAAAUGAGAAGAGGCAGGGCGGGCCACGCGACUCACGUCGUCGUCGCGGAAGACCUCGUCAUCCUCGUCGUCGUAUGCUUGCGCAUACUAAUCGUAAUGCACGCGUGCAUGCGUGCGAGUCGUAACGCGGCCCACCCAGCCGUUCAGAAAGACCACCGACGUUCGUUUCUGUCAUCAUCUUUGAACGUCUCCGUCGUUUAGAUUAUCCUCCUAAGCAUUUUUCUUUGUGGCGAAGUAAGAGAAGAGUACACUCUAAAUACGUUUCAAUUUUAUGUCUCUCGUAAAUCGUUAGCAACAAUGAUGGUCGAUUAUGUCACCGAUGAACAAAAAAAUUAUAAUUAAACGAAUCUAAAAUAUUGGCGUAUGAAAUUAAAAUAAAGACGGCUGUUACCUUCACAUAGUUUCGAGAUAAAUUUAUGUUUAAAAAUUACAUUAUUUUGUCCCGUAGGUUUUAAAUCACGGAGCAUCUUCUUAACGGAAAAUGAAUAUUUUGAUCUCUCCGUUCGCGUCGUUCCUCAAGAUCGAGACAUUCGCGACAUGUUAGCACAAGGGUUUCCCCGCGCAGUCGGGUUAGACCGCCGCGCCGAUUGAAAAAGGAUCCGCUUGUGGAUACA